Molecule: ribosomal RNA, 640 nt
Filed under: Acinetobacter venetianus
Lineage: Bacteria; Pseudomonadati; Pseudomonadota; Gammaproteobacteria; Moraxellales; Moraxellaceae
Description: bacterial SSU rRNA
Rfam family: Bacterial small subunit ribosomal RNA
Source: RNAcentral
AGGUAGCUUGCUACUGGACCUAGCGGCGGACGGGUGAGUAAUGCUUAUGAAUCUGCCUAUUAGUGGGGGACAACAUUCCGAAAGGAAUGCUAAUACCGCAUACGUCCUACGGGAGAAAGCAGGGGACCUUCGGGCCUUGCGCUAAUAUAUGAGCCUAAGUCGGAUUAGCUAGUUGGUGGGGUAAAGGCCUACCAAGGCGACGAUCUGUAGCGGGUCUGAGAGGAUGAUCCGCCACACUGGGACUGAGACACGGCCCAGACUCCUACGGGAGGCAGCAGUGGGGAAUAUUGGACAAUGGGGGGAACCCUGAUCCAGCCGUGCCGCGUGUGUGAAGAAGGCCUUAUGGUUGUAAAGCACUUUAAGCGAGGAGGAGGCUACUAGUAUUAAUACUACUGGAUAGUGGACGUUACUCGCAGAAUAAGCACCGGCUAACUCUGUGCCAGCAGCCGCGGUAAUACAGAGGGUGCGAGCGUUAAUCGGAUUUACUGGGCGUAAAGCGUGCGUAGGCGGCCAUUUAAGUCAAAUGUGAAAUCCCCGAGCUUAACUUGGGAAUUGCAUUCGAUACUGGAUGGCUAGAGUAUGGGAGAGGAUGGUAGAAUUCGCGGUGUAGCGGUGAAAUGCGUAGAGAUCUGGAGGAAUA